Molecule: ribosomal RNA, 250 nt
Filed under: uncultured bacterium
Lineage: Bacteria
Description: partial 16S ribosomal RNA
Rfam family: Bacterial small subunit ribosomal RNA
Source: RNAcentral
UACGUAGGUGGCGAGCGUUGUCCGGAAUUACUGGGCGUAAAGGGCGUGUAGGCGGGGGGACAAGUCAGAUGUGAAAUACCGCAGCUUAACUGCGGGGCUGCAUCUGAAACUGUUCUUCUUGAGUGUCGGAGAGGAAAGUGGAAUUCCCAGUGUAGCGGUGAAAUGCGUAGAGAUUGGGAGGAACACCAGUGGCGAAGGCGGCUUUCUGGACGACAACUGACGCUGAGGCGCGAAAGCGUGGGGAGCAAAC